GAUUACGGCCACACCACCCUGAAUGCGCCUGAUCUCGUCUGAUCUCGGAAGCUAAGCAAGGUCAGGCCUGGUAAGUACUUGGAUGGGUGACCGCCUGAGAAUACCAGGUGCUGUAAGCU
RNAcentral lists this ribosomal RNA (119 nucleotides) under Larimichthys crocea (large yellow croaker). Lineage: Eukaryota; Metazoa; Chordata; Actinopteri; Sciaenidae. The record is from RNAcentral.